This 1501-nucleotide long non-coding RNA is filed under the name Heterocephalus glaber (naked mole-rat). RNAcentral's name for it is "lncRNA (ENSHGLG00100033842.1)". The record is from RNAcentral. Lineage: Eukaryota; Metazoa; Chordata; Mammalia; Rodentia; Bathyergidae.
GAGCAAGCUACAGACAGAGGCCACUGUGUCCUGGUGGAUUUGGAAGGAGUUGAGGUUUCAUCCUGAGAGCAGUGGGGAGCCAUGGGAGGCUUCAUAGCGAGGGGAGGGAAGGUCGGGGCUCUGUAAUAGAGAGGUCCUCUGGCUGCGCAUGUGCUGGAGGGACAGAAGCUGGAACCCUGGAGGCUGGAGAGGUCUCACUGCCGUCAUCAGGGGGACACCAGGUGGCGGGGAUAGGAGGGAAAAGGACAUCUUCACCGGCCUUCGGGAGUAGGCACUGCUCAGGAGUGUGAAGGGGGGCGCUGUGCUCAUCUGUGGAUCGAUCAGUGGAUGCGGUCAGAGCCCGGUGUAGUGUCAGGAGGCCCUUCCACCGCACCCUUCCUGCCUUCGAGCCAACUGAUCAUGGACUGGAACCUGUAGAAAUCUGAUCCUCCAGACCUUCAGGCUCCGUCCGCCGCUGGAUCCCUGCGCACACGGGUGACCAUUUCGGCAUCCUCCUCCUCGCAUGGCCGCUGGGACUCUUCCGGUUUGAUCCCGACAGCCUGCCUCACAAAUCCCGUCUCUAAGCACGCACGUUUUCUGUCGAAUCUGUUCCUCUGGAGAACCCCUAACUCAUACAGAUGUUCGUGUAUGUGUGCGUAUUUGCUCAGUUUCAGGUGCAAAAGACUGGACAGAUGCUUCAUGAAAAGGGACAGAUGGAUAGAUGUUGAGCAACAGCCCAUCCUCGGGAAAAUGGAAUGGAGAACCAUCACGUGAUACCCUCCACACACCCACCAGAAUGGCUGAAGCCAGGCAUUCUGACAGCUCCAAGUGUUGGCAGAAUUACAGAGCAAUGGGAAGUUUGUUGUUGCUGGUGCAGGCCAGUCUGGGGUCCAGGACUGAGAGCAGCUGCCCUCUUCCCCACGGGACCUGCAGUUGCAUCCCCUGCUCAGCUCACCCCAGGCUCCCCAGAACAGCCUGUGGAGUGGACACAGACCUCGCUGCCCCAGUCGGCACUGGCCUCCUGAAACCCAGUCUUGCUGCAGCCCUUGCAGCCUAUGGAAUGCGUGCCAACGCAUUGGAUGUUUUGAGUGAAAGUGGCUGUGGAAUGGUUUCCUUUGCUUACUCCUUCCCCGAAUGUGGCUGUUGGAUUAAGAGAAUGUUGGCUGUCACGUGGAGGGAGCUUCUGGGAGUGUGGCCUGGGGGGUGAUGAGUCUCCAGCCGCCUUCCUGUGGAUCCUGGGGCCGUGCUGCUCGACUGAGGACAGCAAUGUGGUGACUGUGGUUUCCCAGACAGGGCUUCUGAGCCAGGCCCAGCACAGGGACCUAGGGUGGCUGUGGCCGGGACUUCCCAGAGCUCAGCCCCCCGGUGCGCUCCAGCGAGUCCCACCUUUAAAACACACUCAUACAACCAUUGUCACAGUUACCAAGACAUGGGCUGCAUGCCAGACCUGGGCCAGGCAGUUACAAAGGCCGUUUUCUGUCUUCCAUGCUAGUGUAUGCAGGGUGGAGUUCACUUUGUGAAG